GUGCCAGCCGCCGCGGUAAUACGGAGGGAGCUAGCGUUGUUCGGAAUUACUGGGCGUAAAGCGCACGUAGGCGGCUAUUCAAGUCAGAGGUGAAAGCCCGGGGCUCAACCCCGGAACUGCCUUUGAAACUAGAUAGCUUGAAUCUUGGAGAGGCGAGUGGAAUUCCGAGUGUAGAGGUGAAAUUCGUAGAUAUUCGGAAGAACACCAGUGGCGAAGGCGACUCGCUGGACAAGUAUUGACGCUGAGGUGCGAAAGCGUGGGGAGCAAACAGGAUUAGAAACCCGUGUAGUCC
Molecule: ribosomal RNA, 292 nt
Filed under: uncultured bacterium
Lineage: Bacteria
Description: partial 16S ribosomal RNA
Rfam family: Bacterial small subunit ribosomal RNA
Source: RNAcentral